CGGCAAGAGCUCAAAUUUGAAAUCUGGCCUCCGUCCGGGGGUCCGAGUUGUAAUUUGCAGAGGAUGCUUCGGGCGCGGCCGCGGCCUAAGUCCCCUGGAACGGGGCCGUCGCAGAGGGUGAGAAUCCCGUCUUCGGCCGCCGUCACCGCGCCCGUGUGAAGCUCCCUCGAC
Molecule: ribosomal RNA, 171 nt
Filed under: Onygenales sp.
Lineage: Eukaryota; Fungi; Ascomycota; Eurotiomycetes; Onygenales
Description: partial large subunit ribosomal RNA
Rfam family: Eukaryotic large subunit ribosomal RNA
Source: RNAcentral